Molecule: ribosomal RNA, 468 nt
Filed under: uncultured bacterium
Lineage: Bacteria
Description: partial 16S ribosomal RNA
Rfam family: Bacterial small subunit ribosomal RNA
Source: RNAcentral
GACGAACGCUGGCGGCGUGCUUAACACAUGCAAGUCGAACGGAAAGGCCCGGCUUUUGUUGGGUGCUCGAGUUGCUAACGUGUGGGUAACACGUGUGUAACCUGCCCUUUACUUUGGCAUAACUUCAGGAAACUGGGGCUAAUACCGGAUAUUACCUCCUGCUCCGCGGUGUGGGGUGGGAAGUUUCGGCGGUUGGGGAUGGACUCGCGGCUUAUCUGCUUGUUGGUGGGGUAGUGGCUUACCAAGGCGUUGACGGGUAGCCGGCCUGAGAGGGUGACCGGCGACAUGGGGCCUGCGAUAAGGCGCAGCAUCCUACGGGAGGAAGCAGUGGGGAAUAUUGCACAAUGGGAGGAAGCCUGAUGCAGCAACGCCGCGUGCGGGAUGACGGCCUUCGGGUUGUAAACAGCUUUCGCCUGUGACGAAGCGUGAGUGACGGUAAUGGGUAAAGAAGCACCGGCUAACUACGUG